Molecule: long non-coding RNA, 1489 nt
Organism: Sciurus carolinensis (gray squirrel)
Lineage: Eukaryota; Metazoa; Chordata; Mammalia; Rodentia; Sciuridae
Exons: 5
Source: RefSeq, a predicted model, not a curated record
ACCACCCCCCCCACCUCCGAGCUGCAGCUCCCCAUUUGCCAACACAUUUGGGAGCCACAGAGGCCAUCUUGGAUAAUCCUGGAAGCUGUAUCUUCCAUCUUUAGGAGGGGCAAAUCCCAUCCUAAGACGCCUGCUGGAGAAUGGAAGCUCAUUGUAAGUGCUGGAGGUCAAAUCUAGAGCCUUUCUCAUGCUAGAAAAGUGCAGCACUUGAAGAGGCAGGGUACAAGACUGACAGCUGGACAACUGGAGGUUGUAUAACUGCUUCUCCAGAACUUUGACUCUGGCCUCCUCAAACAGAAGGAUGAUCUCCAACAAAUCAAAUGGAAAAAGUAAAAGAACCCAUGGGGAAGAAAACCAUGUGACUACUGAGGCAGAAUUGGAGUGUUGCAGUUCCCAGUCAAGGAUGGUCAAGGUUUGACAAGAGCCACAGAAAACAAAGAAGCAAGGAAGGAUUCUCCUCUGGAACUCUCAGAGGGACAUCGCCCUGCUGACACCUUGAUUUAGGACUUCAAGUUUCUAGAACUCCUCCUUGACCUGUGGAACGUGUGUUUGGGGCUGUCCCGAACAAAAAGGAUGUGGUGGUGGAUGUGGACACCAUGAAGCAUGCUCCUCCAGUGCUUGCUGCUCCCCCACCUCACUGCUGAGCUCUCUCCCCCACCAGUGGACAUUACUGGGUGAGUCCUGCCUGCUGUUCACAACACUGAACAGGUACAAGGGUCUCCCGUAGUCCCCACAUUUGCAGGCACCUGCCUCUUGGCCCUACUGAUUUCUGUAGAAAGAGGACCCUAAAAACCCUGUGGCUGUCUUCUGACAAAAUGCCCUGUACAUAAGGAGGAACCACAUGGGAGAAAGAUUCCUGGGUGGAGGGGACAAUUGACAUAAACCCCUCACAGCUAGCUGAUAUUGCCUUUAAGGUAUAUAAUGCCUGGGAGGAACAGAAACUAAAGUCAACUCAUGUUUUAUUUGCAACCCCUGCAAAGGGAUCCUUCGGGAAGCCUAAAGCAAAAGAUGGGAAGGGCCUCCCUCCAUUAAGAAUCAAUAUGGGACUGGGGUUGUGGCUCAGUGGUACAGCAUUUGCCUAACAUGUGUGAGGCACUGGGUUUGAUUCUCAGCACUGCAUAUAAAUAAAUGAAUAAAAUAAAGGUCCAUCAACAACUAAAAAAAUAUUAAAAAAAAAAAAAAGAAUCAGUAUGCCUACUGCAAGGAAAAGGCCCAGCAGGGACCCUUGGGUAGAGUUGACAAUGGGGGUCUCAUUUAAAGUUGAUAACAUUGUGAUAAUAAGAAUGAGAAGUCAGGCUCACCAUUUUUUUGCUCCAACCUCUUGAAUGCAAACUUGGAGAAUAAAGAUUACAAGAUAGUUUUUGGGGCUGGGGAGAUAGCUCAGUUGGUAGAGUGCUUGCCUUAAACACAAGGCCCUAGGUUCAAUCCCCAGCACUGCAAAAAAGAAAAAAAAGACAUAGUUUUUGUACAUGUCAGAUUGUCUGAUACC